Molecule: long non-coding RNA, 263 nt
Filed under: Capsicum annuum
Lineage: Eukaryota; Viridiplantae; Streptophyta; Magnoliopsida; Solanales; Solanaceae
Description: long non-coding RNA (CANN_LNC011346)
Source: RNAcentral
GUGACUUUUGGAGCUGAGAUUCUCCUUCCAUUUGUUCUCAUUGUGAUUGAUUUACUCUGAUGUCGUGGAUUGUGAAUUGAUUUCCUUCCAUUCUUGGAGCCGGCUUUCUUUAUCCUUCCGACAUUAGCAGUCUUCAAUAUCCUGCAAAGAUACACUUGUUAUUUUGUCAUUAUUAAAAUGUAGACUUAGGAGGCUAACACUAACUUGGUUCACAAAGCCAUGAAGAAGGUGAAAAUGAUUAGAUAAAGACUUGAGACUUCUCA